Non-coding RNA from Podarcis lilfordi (Lilford's wall lizard), 74 nucleotides. NCBI's taxonomy places the organism in Eukaryota, Metazoa, Chordata, Lepidosauria, Squamata, Lacertidae. The record is from the annotation of a GenBank genome assembly.
GUCCCGCCGUAGCAGCACAGAAAUAUUGGCACUGCCUUGUCCAGCCAGUAUUGCUUGCGCUGCUCCCGUGGGCC